AGAGCUCAGGUAGAUAACUUGGAGGACCAGGAAGCUGAAGCAGCAACGAUGAGGGUGUCUGCGUCUGAAGCCAUGAUUUAACUGUUAAGGUUCAGAGGUUCAGUCCGUUAUCAUCAUGGUGGGAAGCACGGCAUCUUGCAGGCAGACUUGGUGCUGGAGAAGCCAAGAGUUCGACAUCUUGACCUAAAGAGAGCCUGGCAAGGCCUGCUGUCUUCCUCAGGCAGCCAGGAGGAGGAUCUCAUUCCACACUGGGCAGAGCCUGAGCCUGGGAACCUCGAAGCCCACCCCGACAGCAACCAAGGCCACACCUCCUAAUAGUGCCACUCUGUGAGCCAGUCAUAUUCAAACCACCACAAGCACCCUGCAUAACUACACCCCAAGCAUAAGGCUACCCUGAAUCGAGCCCAAGGGGAUAGAGUAAGAGAAGGAAUGGCUCCGCUUAAACUUGUUUCAGGGUCAGAUGCCUUCCAGUGCACGGAGCUCCCAGACAGCUCAGCAGCGCCCCCACCGCAGCUCAGCAGCGCCCCCACGGCAGGUGGUGGUGGUGUCGGCGGCCG
This 557-nucleotide long non-coding RNA is filed under the name Rattus norvegicus (Norway rat). RNAcentral describes it as "long non-coding RNA NONRATT012996". Lineage: Eukaryota; Metazoa; Chordata; Mammalia; Rodentia; Muridae. The record is from RNAcentral.